Molecule: RNA transcript, 1908 nt
Organism: Lycium ferocissimum
Lineage: Eukaryota; Viridiplantae; Streptophyta; Magnoliopsida; Solanales; Solanaceae
Exons: 10
Source: RefSeq, a predicted model, not a curated record
UAUCAGCUUUCUUCUUGUUCUUCUUCAACAUACUUUCUUCUUCAUCUUCUUUGCGUCUUUCUUGAUCAUCAAUGAAAAUAAAGGGCUUUUCUUCAACAAUUACAGUUUAAUAGUUUAUUCCCGAUAAAUCUGCUCAAUUUCAUAGAGUCAGGUGUAAAUGCGAUCAUUUUAUAAAGUUCAAAAAGGCAAAAUUGAGUAAGAAGGAGAAAUUUAGACUAAUUUUAUAAUGAUAAAAAUAUAUUUUAUUCCAACUAUUAUCGAAUGACAUAUUUAUUCCAUUCUACAUAUUUUAUUCCAACUUUUUGGCUUUCAAAAAGUUUGACCAAACAAGCAAUGUUCAUAUUUACUUCCUAGCCACCAAAGAUUUAGAAAUGACAUUUUAAUCCUCGAGUGUUCUUCUCUAAGUAGGAAAGGCCUAAAGCUAUUCCGCCACACAAUUGCAACCACUCCCAUAUUCCGCCGUCGUGGUUGGUUGCCGCCAUCGAAGGCAUUAUACUAACUUAUCCGCCUCAUCAGAAUGAUGGAUUACAGAAACAAGCUAGUCUUGGCUCCAAUGGUCCGAGUCGGUACAUUGCCGUUUAGGAUGCUUGCUGCCCAAUAUGGUGCGGACAUAACCUAUGGAGAGGAGAUUAUUGAUCAUAAGAUCAUCAAAUGUGAGCGGCGAGUUAAUGAUGUCUUAGGGACUACUGACAUAGUGGAGAAGGGAACUGACAAUGUUGUUUUCAGAACGUGCCCCGAGGAAAGAAAUCGAGUUGUAUUUCAGAUGGGCACUUCUGAUGCCGUGAGGGCUCUCAAAGCUGCUGAAAUUGUGUGUAAAGAUGUAGCAGCAGUGGACGUAAACAUGGGAUGCCCCAGGUCAUUCUCCGUUAGCGGAGGCAUGGGUGCUGCACUGUUGAGCAAACCAGAGCUCAUCCAUGAUAUUUUGACAACAUUACGGCGGAACUUAGACGUACCAGUAACGUGCAAAAUUAGAUUAUUAAAAUCUCCGCAGGAUACAGUGGAAUUGGCGCGACGUAUUGAGAGGACUGGUGUCUCUGCCCUUGCUGUCCAUGGAAGGAAAGUUGCAGACAGGCCAAGAGAUCCUGCAAAGUGGAAUGAGAUUGCGGAUGUUGCUGCCGCUCUCUCUAUUCCAGUUAUAGCAAAUGGUGAUGUUUUUGAAUAUGAGGAUUUUCAACGCAUUAGAGAUGCAACAGCUAUAUUGUAUAGGUGCUUCAUCUGUGAUGGUUGCAAGAGGAGCCAUUUGGAAUGCCUCUAUAUUCUCUUCCGAGGGAAAAAUACCACGGGAAGAUGUCAAAAGAGAGUAUGUGAGAAAGAGUAUAUUGUGGGAUAACGAUAUCAAAAGUACAAAGCACACCCUGAAGGAAAUGAUAAUGCAAUAUUCUUCCCUUGGGCUCCCGGAGGGGCUGGCAGUAAUUAAAUCAGAUACCUUGGCAGAUAUAGCGAAACUUUACGGUGAAGAAGAAUACUAUGAAUAUGUCUUAGAAAGCCGGAGGAAGCAGAUAACAUAAGAUAAAUAGUUUCACCCUCACUAAGCGGAGAAGUCAAUACACUAAGAUGUCGAUGAAACUAGAUGACCAUUUAUAAUUUAUAAAGCUAGUGGGGGUGUUUGAAGCAAGAGAUAGAGGUGGACUUUGCACAUGAGGUUGUUAAUGAGUUGAAGAAUCACAUAAGUUCUGACUUCUUUCCGAGCUAUGUGACUCUAUACCCGAAUGAUAUCUCUUGUUUGAGUUUAAAGUAACAUUCCGACACCCCUGAAGAAUUCCCUUAACUGCGAAAGUUCAAACAGUAUUCAUUGUAGGCUUUACACUAAAUUGAACUAGUAUAGUUUACUUGCAUAAAACGACGCUAUAGCUAUGUAUGUUUUGGUUGUAAAAGAGGCACCAUUGAUUCAUUGAAGUCUUUGCUUGA